GCCGAAGUGGCGGAAUUUGGUAGACGCGCUGGAUUCAGGAUCCAGUGGGUGCAAGCCCGUGGGGGUUCAAAUCCCCCCUUCGGCACCA
This 88-nucleotide transfer RNA is filed under the name Candidatus Dadabacteria bacterium. RNAcentral describes it as "tRNA-Leu". It matches the Rfam family "tRNA". Rfam says of the family: Transfer RNA (tRNA) molecules are approximately 80 nucleotides in length. Their secondary structure includes four short double-helical elements and three loops (D, anti-codon, and T loops). Further hydrogen bonds mediate the characteristic L-shaped molecular structure. tRNAs have two regions of fundamental functional importance: the anti-codon, which is responsible for specific mRNA codon recognition, and the 3' end, to which the tRNAs corresponding amino acid is attached (by aminoacyl-tRNA synthetases). tRNAs cope with the degeneracy of the genetic code in two manners: having more than one tRNA (with a specific anti-codon) for a particular amino acid; and 'wobble' base-pairing, i.e. permitting non-standard base-pairing at the 3rd anti-codon position. Lineage: Bacteria; Pseudomonadati; Thermodesulfobacteriota; Candidatus Dadabacteria. RNAcentral also lists the same sequence under 2 other names. The record is from RNAcentral.